ACAAACAGACUGUCGCCGACUAUGUUAUCAGAUAUACAGAUUCGCAAUGCUUUACAAUCGAGUUCGGAGCCUAAGCUUGCUUCUAGUUUGUGAAUUAUCGGUUUUGCGGGCUUCAAAGAAAAGCGUUAUUUUGAAAACCAUACCGAGAAUGGUAACAAAGUAUCGUUAUGAUUCGAUUAAUGGAACCAUAAAUAUGUACUGUGAUUGAUUCGAUAUCAAACUUAGCGGAAAAGUGGAAGACCUAGCUGUCGGCAAAGCUAUUCGAGAAACCUUCAUUCAGAUGAAUAAAAUUUCACUGGAAGAGGGAGAUGGCGUUUAUCAGCCACAACAUGUAAGUUUAUUGAGAAAGCGUAUCGUUGCAAGUCGCACUUGUUAUUCGUAUGCAUACUCCAGUGAUCAGUGUAGUUUUUACUCUAACUAGCAGUACUUUUACUCUAACAAAUUACACGAACUGGUUCCACUUUACUAUCGAGAGAAGAAACUAUUCUGAAGAAAUUGAGCAGUUUCACUCUCCAGUUAAGCAAUUAUCCUUCGUGCGAGAGAUAACGCCAAGAGUACACAACCGUCAACAACAUUCCCGAGAGAUGCUUCCUGAUUUUGCACAGCGCUGAAGCAACUGCUAUCAAGAUGGAGCCACAGUUAAUGAUGACCACCAGCUGUCGAAUAAUGAUAAUAUUUUCGAGACGGGCUCAAUCGAACAAGAAGCCGAAACGCUAAUCAGGAGAAAAUGGGAAGCUCUUUUGCAUCAGCAAAAUAGACGAAAAAGUAAACAACACAUUUAUAAUUCCGAUUGCCAUAAAAGGUUAUUUGGAUGCUCCGUAAGAAAAUCCUCGCGGACGGAGGUGUGAUGAAGGACCAUAUACGACUACACACGGAUGAAAAUAUGAUGUUUUUUUUCAUUUUAUAAACAUUGACUGGUAAUGUAUUUCAGAAAAAAACUAUUAAAAUUGGAAAAGUGUGAAAAACCUUUUUGUUCGAAAUACGAACUCAAAUUGAAAUUUGGAACUCAUACAGGAUCAUCCCAUUGCAGGUGAACGUCCCAAUCCUUGUCCAUAGUGUCCGAAUACGUUUAAUUGUUCUACAACGCUUUAAGGAAACAUUCGAAUUCAUGCGGGUAAACGUUCCAAUUCUUCUGCCCAAAAGAGUUUAUCAGUUUUUCAUCGCUCCAAAGCAUAAUCGCUUUCAUACGGGUAAUUGUCCCUAUUCUUGUUCGCAGUGUCCAAAAGAGUUUCAGCCAUCCAAAAGCACAUUCAAACUCAUACUGGUGAAUGUCAUUGCAUAACAUCUGUUGAUCCGCGCUCGGAUCGCCUUGAACUCCAUUUUGGCCGAAUCUGGUCAAACAGACAUUGAGAAAAUUUUCCGGUUGAAUGAAUUUCAAUAGGGUGGAUUAAGUGCCGCAAAAUAUGAUACAGGUUUUUAUUUGGCGUUGUAACUUUGAUGUACAACCACUGAACAUGAAUCCGGAUCAUGCUUUUAUUAUUUAUAUGAUUAUGCUUCUAUAUGAAUAUAGAGAAUAUUUGACAGAGAAUUAUAUUUUGAUAUUUUCCAGCUACUGUUAAAGUUCGAUCCGGAUGGCCUUAGGAAAUAGAAACUACUAAGAAGAGAACGUAAAUAACAACAAAACAUAUAAAUCUGAUAAGCCAUACCCUUCACUUCCAACAAUAUAUGAAUAACAGUUUGGAUCUCAAAAAUGAAUCGUCAUGUUAUAAAAUUGGUUUCCAGAUUCAUGCAUCAACAGUUUAGACACACAUACCAUGCAGUGAGAAUAUACUGCCAUCAACAUUUCUUCUGAAUUUACCAUAAAUAGAAUCAAACCGGUUUAAUUUAGAUUAUGAACUAAUAAAGUGAACCUUCCGAAUUGUGUAGCUAGUAA
Long non-coding RNA from Toxorhynchites rutilus septentrionalis, 1873 nucleotides. RefSeq lists it as uncharacterized. The transcript has 6 exons. Lineage: Eukaryota; Metazoa; Arthropoda; Insecta; Diptera; Culicidae. The record is from RefSeq and is a predicted model, not a curated record.